RNAcentral lists this unclassified non-coding RNA (72 nucleotides) under Graphium basitruncatum. RNAcentral describes it as "ITS2". The record is from RNAcentral. Lineage: Eukaryota; Fungi; Ascomycota; Sordariomycetes; Microascales; Graphiaceae.
GUAGUAGAAUCUCUUCUCGCAUCGGGUCCCGGGCGCGCGGCCAGCCGCUAAACCCCCCAAUCGUACCAACGG